AAAAUAAAGAAGACACUAGAAGAAAAAACCUUCAAAAGAGAAAUAUCUUAGAGAACUGCUAGAGUGGCCAAGACUGGGUCCAUGGAAGAAAAGGGUAUAUACCAACUAUCUCAGAUAAGAAAACUGAAGCCCAGAGAUGUCUUUCUCCAGCAUUAGGCUUUUCUGUAAUCAUUCAUUUUGGCAGAAGUCCGCAGAAGGCCGCAGAACUCCGCAGAAGGCCGCAGAACUCCGCAGAAGGCCGCAGAACUCCGCAGAAGUCCGCACACAGUAAGGAAGUUGCCUCCGCGUCCAGCCCGCUGAUUGAGCAGGCCGAGAGCCAAUGCGCAAAGAAGGUCCGUUUCCGUUUGUUUUCCUCAUACUUUUCCUUCUUUCUGACCAGUAAGCCACAGAGUUAUGGAAAAGGCUGGGGAAGAAUCUGUGGCCGAGUCCUUCUUCCCACAGGUCCACUAAUUAUGGAGAACCAAAGUUUUUUCUUAAAACUGACGGGACAAUCGAUGAACCUGACCACUGCAGACAUGGACUUCCCUAAACUUCAAUCUGUGGAGAGAGGCCUCAGAGUCUUCACUCGCUAUUUCAUUUUCAGGCUCCUUCCAGCAAAAUAAAAGUAAAAACAACAGCUAUUUGAUGGCUCAUUGCCUUUGUU
Molecule: long non-coding RNA, 643 nt
Filed under: Homo sapiens (human)
Lineage: Eukaryota; Metazoa; Chordata; Mammalia; Primates; Hominidae
Description: HSALNT0349041
Source: RNAcentral